Molecule: ribosomal RNA, 846 nt
Filed under: Badumna tangae
Lineage: Eukaryota; Metazoa; Arthropoda; Arachnida; Araneae; Desidae
Description: bacterial SSU rRNA
Rfam family: Eukaryotic small subunit ribosomal RNA
Source: RNAcentral
CGCAAGAAUGUUUCCAUUAAUCAAGAACGAAAGUUAGAGGUUCGAAGGCGAUCAGAUACCGCCCUAGUUCUAACCGUAAACGAUGCCAGCCAGCGAUCCGGCUGUGUUCCUCAAAUGACACGCCGGGCAGCUUCCGGGAAACCAAAGCUUUUGGGUUCCGGGGGAAGUAUGGUUGCAAAGCUGAAACUUAAAGGAAUUGACGGAGAGGCACCACCAGGAGUGGAGCUUGCGGCUUAAUUUGACUCAACGCGGGAAAACCUACCCGGUCCGGACACAGGAAGGAUUGACAGAUUGACAGCUCUUUCUUGAUUCUGUGGGUGGUGGUGCAUGGCCGUUCUUAGUUGGUGGAGCGGUUUGUCAGGUUCAUUCCGAUAACGAGCGAGACUCUAGCCUACUAAAUAGACGUUCCGAUCCUCUGCGUCGGACGUUCUCUUCUUAGAGGGACAAGCGGCGUUUAGCCGCACGAGACAGAGCAAUAACAGGUCUGUGAUGCCCUUAGAUGUCCGGGGCCGCACGCGUGCUACAUUGAAGGGAUCAGCGUGUGCUUUCCCUGUCCGACAGGACUGGGUAACCCGUUGAAACUCCUUCGUGCUGGGGAUAGGAGAUUGUAAUUGUUCUCCUUGAACGAGGAACUCCCAGUAAGCGCGAGUCAUCAUCUCGUGCUGAUUACGUCCCUGCCUCUUGUACACACCGCCCGUCGCCACUACCGAUCGAAUGAUUUAGUGAGGUCUUCGGACCGGCGCUCGGACCGGCUUUCGGGUCGGGCCGGCGUGCCAGAAAGAUGAUCGAACUUGAUCAUUUAGAGGAAGUGAAAGUCGUAACUAAGGUCUCCGUAGGUGACCGGGA